GGAAUAUUGGACAAUGGGCGAAAGCCUGAUCCAGCAAUGCCGCGUGAGUGAUGAAGGCCUUAGGGUUGUAAAGCUCUUUUACCAGGGAUGAUAAUGACAGUACCUGGAGAAUAAGCUCCGGCUAACUCCGUGCCAGCAGCCGCGGUAAUACGGAGGGAGCUAGCGUUGUUCGGAAUUACUGGGCGUAAAGCGUACGUAGGCGGUUAUUCAAGUCAGAGGUGAAAGCCUGGAGCUCAACUCCAGAACUGCCUUUGAAACUAGAUAGCUAGAAUCUUGGAGAGGUGAGUGGAAUUCCGAGUGUAGAGGUGAAAUUCGUAGAUAUUCGGAAGAACACCAGUGGCGAAGGCGACUCACUGGACAAGUAUUGACGCUGAGGUACGAAAGCGUGGGGAGCAAACAGGAUUAGAUACCCUGGUAGUCCACGCCGUAAACGAUGAUAACUAGCUGUUCGGGCUCUACGAGCUUGAGUGGCGCAGCUAACGCAUUAAGUUAUCCGCCUGGGGAGUACGGUCGCAAGAUUAAAACUCAAAUGAAUUGACGG
Molecule: ribosomal RNA, 541 nt
Filed under: uncultured bacterium
Lineage: Bacteria
Description: bacterial SSU rRNA
Rfam family: Bacterial small subunit ribosomal RNA
Source: RNAcentral